GCAGUCGAGCGAUGAAGCACCUUCGGGUGUGAAUUAGCGGCGAACGGGUGAGGAACACGUGAAGAAUCUGCCUUCAACUCUGGGAUAACUCCGGGAAACCGGGGCUAAUACCGGAUAUGAGCCUUGAUCGCAUGAUCGGGGCUGGAAAGUUUUUCGGUUGAAGAUGACUUCGCGGCCUAUCAGCUUGUUGGUGAGGUAAUGGCUCACCAAGGCGACGACGGGUAGCCGGCCUGAGAGGGCGACCGGCCACACUGGGACUGAGACACGGCCCAGACUCCUACGGGAGGCAGCAGUGGGGAAUAUUGGGCAAUGGAGGAAACUCUGACCCAGCGACGCCGCGUGAGGGAUGAAGGCCUUCGGGUUGUAAACCUCUUUCAGUAGGGAAGAAGCGAAAGUGACGGUACCUACAGAAGAAGCACCGGCUAACUAUGUGCCAGCAGCCGCGGUAAUACAUAGGGUGCAAGCGUUGUCCGGAAUUAUUGGGCGUAAAGAGCUCGUAGGUGGUUCGAUACGUCGGAUGUGAAAAUCAGGGGCUCAACCCCUGACCUGCAUCCGAUACGGUCGAGCUAGAGUUUGGUAGGGGAGACUGGAAUUCCUGGUGUAGCGGUGGAAUGCGCAGAUAUCAGGAGGAACACCGAUGGCGAAGGCAGGUCUCUGGGCCAAUACUGACACUGAGGAGCGAAAGCGUGGGGAGCGAACAGGAUUAGAUACCCUGGUAGUCCAC
Molecule: ribosomal RNA, 724 nt
Filed under: uncultured Actinomycetes bacterium
Lineage: Bacteria; Bacillati; Actinomycetota; Actinomycetes
Description: bacterial SSU rRNA
Rfam family: Bacterial small subunit ribosomal RNA
Source: RNAcentral